RNAcentral lists this ribosomal RNA (682 nucleotides) under Escherichia coli. RNAcentral describes it as "bacterial SSU rRNA". It matches the Rfam family "Bacterial small subunit ribosomal RNA", at positions 844 to 1526 of the family's 1533-position model. RNAcentral also lists the same sequence under 1 other name. The record is from RNAcentral. Lineage: Bacteria; Pseudomonadati; Pseudomonadota; Gammaproteobacteria; Enterobacterales; Enterobacteriaceae.
UUCCGGAGCUAACGCGUUAAGUCGACCGCCUGGGGAGUACGGCCGCAAGGUUAAAACUCAAAUGAAUUGACGGGGGCCCGCACAAGCGGUGGAGCAUGUGGUUUAAUUCGAUGCAACGCGAAGAACCUUACCUGGUCUUGACAUCCACGGAAGUUUUCAGAGAUGAGAAUGUGCCUUCGGGAACCGUGAGACAGGUGCUGCAUGGCUGUCGUCAGCUCGUGUUGUGAAAUGUUGGGUUAAGUCCCGCAACGAGCGCAACCCUUAUCCUUUGUUGCCAGCGGUCCGGCCGGGAACUCAAAGGAGACUGCCAGUGAUAAACUGGAGGAAGGUGGGGAUGACGUCAAGUCAUCAUGGCCCUUACGACCAGGGCUACACACGUGCUACAAUGGCGCAUACAAAGAGAAGCGACCUCGCGAGAGCAAGCGGACCUCAUAAAGUGCGUCGUAGUCCGGAUUGGAGUCUGCAACUCGACUCCAUGAAGUCGGAAUCGCUAGUAAUCGUGGAUCAGAAUGCCACGGUGAAUACGUUCCCGGGCCUUGUACACACCGCCCGUCACACCAUGGGAGUGGGUUGCAAAAGAAGUAGGUAGCUUAACCUUCGGGAGGGCGCUUACCACUUUGUGAUUCAUGACUGGGGUGAAGUCGUAACAAGGUAACCGUAGGGGAACCUGCGGUUGGAUCAC